This 2049-nucleotide long non-coding RNA is filed under the name Marmota monax (woodchuck). The record is from RNAcentral. Lineage: Eukaryota; Metazoa; Chordata; Mammalia; Rodentia; Sciuridae.
GACUAGUUCAUAAUUCUCAAGUAGAUUGUAAGCCCUUGAAGUUCAAAAAGGUGGAGAAAAGAGAAAUUGAACAAUAAAUCAUCAUAAUAAAAGCUACCUUUAGUUAAGUGCUUAUCAUGAGCUAGCCUCUGAACUAAUUGCUCUAUAUACAUUCUCUCGUUUAAUCCUUAUGGAAACUGAUUUUUUUAUCAUCCUUCUUAAAUCACAGUUGUUAUUAUUGUUUUUUUUAAUAGCCUUAGCUCUCAUACACAAUGUUGUGGGAACUCUAUGUCCUCCCAAGAUUCCAAGGACUCCCGGGGAAUGAAUUGGCAGUUUCAUGAUCAUUUUUCCUUAUGGAUUCCUGCUCCAGCUGCAUGCAAGCUUUUUUACCUUCCUCCUGACAAUGCUGUCCCCUCAUCCCCUCACUUUCACAAAUGGCAGGCUAAGCCCUUCUUUUCUUCUUUCCCUAAAGGCUCCUUGGGACACAGGGCCAUUUUACCUAGAAGACUUAUUGAAAGGUGGGGCCAUCACAGGAUAGCAGACGGCACAGGAAAUCACUAAUGUGCUCAGCACCCUCCUUCUGGACUGUUCUACUCUGAGCCCUUCCUGCAACCACAUUUCCCUUUCCCUAAGAAUCUUCUCCCGGUCUUUGUCUCCGCUGAAAACCUCAUAUUUGUUACUUUGUUAUGCAAAGAAAUUUCGCUUUUUUGAAUAAACGCUUCCAUUCAAGGAUAUUCUCAAUCUCGGGUCAGAGAAGGAACCAAGAGAAUAGAAGCUCAGUAACUUUUUAAAACUAAAAAUGUUUAACAAGAAGUAUUUUCCUUGACCAAUAAGCAAAGCACCAUCUGUGAUGAAUCCUGCCCCACCCUAGAAUGAAGACAUAUGGCAGUUGUUUUUUUCAUAACAACAUUUGUUUUUCUUCCUGUUAUACUUGUAGAAAUGGUAUGACGUAUUUAUUAUAAUACCCAUUUUUUUUCCAGCGGAGGAAACUGAGGAUGAAAAAACUUUUUUUUUUUUUUAAGUUACUUGCUCUAAGUUCCACAGCUAAUGUCAGAGUUGAAUUCCAAAUGCAGACCUGAUUCCAAAGCCAGAGAGAUUGACCACGACACCAUGUGGCCAUUUAAUGCAGCUCAAGCGGAUCUUGAAGUGGUUCCAUUCACAGGUGAUUCUUACUCAGGAAAUCUUUCUGUUGGGGGAGGUCUUGCAGGUCAGAGGAAGGUGAAUUGAUUGAUUGAAGGCCAAAGACAUUAAAACCAAGUAAGAGCUAGGAAUAACUACCUAUGUAUAGCUUCACAUCUGAGACCCAAGGGGAGUUGUCGCUAUUAAUCACUGCUGAAUGAUUGCUCUGAUUGCUUCAUUUGUUGGUGCUGCAGUUGCUGAAUUUUACUGCGCUGUAUUUGACCUUGGGGAGGGGUUCACUUUGGGGGAAGAUAAGUAGAGUGGAGGAGGACAGAAACCAGAUUAUAGUAGACUGAAGAGCAAGUAAUAACCAAAGUUAUAAUUUUCCCAUUAUCACACUUUAUUAUGGGGAGAAACCCUUCCAAUAAGUAUCAUGAUUUCUAUUUUAGGGAUGAGAAAGCCCAAGUCACUUUACUUAUGUGUGGCAAAAAUCCCUCUGAUCUCUCCACCAGUGACAUAUUAAGGAAUGUUUUCCAACUCUUUCUGGGAAGAGUUCUCAUAAAUUCUGUUUCUGCAACUUUAAUCCAUUUCCAGUGAUGUUCUUGCCUCCCUUACAACCUUGGUUCCCCAACCAGCUUCCCAGCUGGGAUACAUUUUCAUCUGGGUCUGCCUGACCCACCAUUCCUGCCUCAGGUAAGUCUUGCACAAGAGAACUAUGAAUCCAAGCUAGCCAUUCUUUCAUUCAUUCCACAGCUAGUUAUUGAGCUCUCUGUGAGAGCCUCUGCUACCUGGCCAACCCUUUUAGAUAUCCUGAGCAACCAGCUUGAAGUGGAGGUUUUAAAGAUGCAGCCAACACUCCAAAGCAAGAGAAAGCUUGUCUUAUCUUCCCAAAGAGAGAGCCUCUGCUCCAUUGCCAGGUAGGAAACCAUAAAACACUCUUGGCUGCUAUUC